RNAcentral lists this ribosomal RNA (447 nucleotides) under uncultured bacterium. RNAcentral describes it as "bacterial SSU rRNA". It matches the Rfam family "Bacterial small subunit ribosomal RNA", at positions 355 to 825 of the family's 1533-position model. The record is from RNAcentral.
UGGGGAAUAUUGGACAAUGGGCGCAAGCCUGAUCCAGCCAUGCCGCGUGAGUGAAGAAGGCCUUAGGGUUGUAAAACUCUUUCGCCGGGGAAGAUAAUGACGGUACCCGGAGAAGAAGCUCCGGCUAACUUCGUGCCAGCAGCCGCGGUAAUACGAAGGGAGCUAGCGUUGUUCGGAAUUACUGGGCGUAAAGCGCACGUAGGCGGACUUGUCAGUCAGGGGUGAAAUCCCAAGGCUCAACCUUGGAACUGCCUCCGAUACAGCAAGCCUAGAGAUCGGGAGAGGUGAGUGGAAUUCCUAGUGUAGAGGUGAAAUUCGUAGAUAUUAGGAAGAACACCAGUGGCGAAGGCGGCUCACUGGCCCGAUACUGACGCUGAGGUGCGAAAGCGUGGGGAGCAAACAGGAUUAGAUACCCCGGUAGUCCCUGAGCGGGCUGGCAAGGCGCAU